Molecule: long non-coding RNA, 382 nt
Filed under: Ananas comosus (pineapple)
Lineage: Eukaryota; Viridiplantae; Streptophyta; Magnoliopsida; Poales; Bromeliaceae
Description: long non-coding RNA (ACOM_LNC018899)
Source: RNAcentral
AUUUAUUUUGAGACAUAAUAUAGUUUGUUAUUUUUUUUACUUAAUUAACUUAAUUUUGUAGCUCUUUAUUAUUAUAUUCUUAAGAAAUAUGAGUAUUUAUGCUAAUAGCAGAAAUUUUGAGAGAAAAAAAAAACUUAAUUUAAUAGCCGAAUUUUUUAUCCCGAAUUUUUAAUUGAUGAACGUAUAAUAUUCGUAUAAAUCACGUAUCCGAAUAAUUGGAAAAUUCGUUUUUUAGCCGUAUUUUUCAACGAAUUUAAAAAUUAAAAGACGAAUUUUAUUCGAAUUAUAUCCGUAACAAAUUUUUGCCGAAUCCGAAAAUUCUACUCUACUCUUUCUCUCUCUCUCUCUAUAUAUAUUAAUUUAUUUUUUUUUUUUUUUUUUU